CUGCCAGACUCCUACGGGAGGCAGCAGUGGGGAAUAUUGCACAAUGGGGGAAACCCUGAUGCAGCAACGCCGCGUGAGUGAAGAAGUAUUUCGGUCUGUAAAGCUCUAUCAGCAGGGAAGAAAAUGACGGUACCUGAGUAAGAAGCCCCGGCUAACUACGUGCCAGCAGCCGCGGUAAUACGUAGGGGGCAAGCGUUAUCCGGAUUUACUGGGUGUAAAGGGAGCGUAGACGGCGAUGCAAGUCUGAAGUGAAAGCCCGGGGCUCAACCCCGGGACUGCUUUGGAAACUGUAUGGCUGGAGUGCUGGAGAGGCAAGCGGAAUUCCUAGUGUAGCGGUGAAAUGCGUAGAUAUUAGGAAGAACACCAGUGGCGAAGGCGGCGUGCUGGACAGUAACUGACGUUGAGGCUCGAAAGCGUGGGGAGCAAACAGGAUUAGAUACCCCGGUACUA
Molecule: ribosomal RNA, 450 nt
Filed under: uncultured bacterium
Lineage: Bacteria
Description: bacterial SSU rRNA
Rfam family: Bacterial small subunit ribosomal RNA
Source: RNAcentral